UACAGAGGUCUCAACCGUUGUUCGGAUUCAUUGGGCGUAAAGAGCGUGUAGGCGGCCAAACAGGUCCGUUGUGAAAACUGGAGGCUUAACCGCCAGACGUCGACGGAAACCGUGUGGCUAGAGUCCGGAAGAGGAGAGUGGAAUUCCUGGUGUAGCGGUGAAAUGCGCAGAUAUCAGGAAGAACACCAAUGGCGAAGGCAGCUCUCUGGGACGGUACUGACGCUGAGACGCGAAAGCGUGGGGAGCGAACAGG
RNAcentral lists this ribosomal RNA (253 nucleotides) under uncultured bacterium. Its description in RNAcentral is "partial 16S ribosomal RNA". It matches the Rfam family "Bacterial small subunit ribosomal RNA", at positions 524 to 776 of the family's 1533-position model. The record is from RNAcentral.